GAUGAAGAACGUAGCGAAAUGCGAUAAGUAAUGUGAAUUGCAGAAUUCAGUGAAUCAUCGAAUCUUUGAACGCACAUUGCGCCCCUUGGUAUUCCGAGGGGCAUGCCUGUUCGAGCGUCAUUUCAACCCUCAAGCACAGCUUGGUCUUGGGCUUCGCCGCUAACCCGGCGGGUCUUAAAAUCAGUGGCGGUGCCGUCGGGCCCUGAGCGCAGUAAUCUCUCUCGCUAUAGGGUCCCGGCGGAUGCUGGCCAGUAACCCCCAAUUUUCUAUGGUUGACCUCGGAUCAGGUAGGGAUACCCGCUGAACUUAAGCAUAUCAAUAACGGAGGA
This 329-nucleotide unclassified non-coding RNA is filed under the name soil metagenome. Its description in RNAcentral is "partial contains 5.8S ribosomal RNA, internal transcribed spacer 2, and large subunit ribosomal RNA". The stretch from base 1 to 120 matches the Rfam family "5.8S ribosomal RNA", at positions 35 to 154 of the family's 154-position model. The record is from RNAcentral.